Leguminivora glycinivorella is the source of this 460-nucleotide long non-coding RNA. RefSeq lists it as uncharacterized. The record is from RefSeq and is a predicted model, not a curated record. The transcript has 3 exons. Lineage: Eukaryota; Metazoa; Arthropoda; Insecta; Lepidoptera; Tortricidae.
AUCUAAUCGGUAAUCAACACCUAAACAAUUCCAACUAGUUGCAAACUGAACGGGACAAUUUUCCGGUGUGUCCUUUAUGGACUGUACUCCGUCUUAGCACUAUCCUCAAGUUUUACCCGAGAGACCACGCUUCAGGUUGGACCGUCUUCCAUAUAUCUACUGACUUCAUAUAAAUGAAAGUGUACUAAGGACUCGCUGAUCUGCACUACCAGCUCAUGUUCAACGUUACUGAACAACAAAGUAAUCCGACAAUCAGACUGGACCCGGUCACGUUAGGUAAGUUUACAUACCUACUGCAUACUACAUACAUACUAUUUCUGAACCUCAGUAAAAUAUGGUUUUAUAAUGAUGAUAGUGCUUAUUAUCUACGAGUAAGCCUACUUAACAAGAGUAUUACAAAUUUCAAUCAAUUUUCAUGAAAUUCAUUAAGCAAUUGUGACAAUGAUCAAGCAGUGGUGGA